CUACGGGAGGCACCAGUGGGGAAUCUUGCGCAAUGGACGAAAGUCUGACGCAGCGACGCCGCGUGGGUGAUGAAGGCCUUCGGGUCGUAAAGCCCUGUUCUGGGGGAAGAAACCACUUCGGUGCUGACGGUACCCCAGAAGAAAGCACAGGCUAACUCCGUGCCAGCAGCCGCGGUAAUACGGAGUGUGCUAGCGUUGUUCGGAUUUACUGGGCGUAAAGCGCAUGUAGGUGGCUUGACAAGUCGGAUGUGAAAUCCCGGGGCUCAACCUCGGAACUGCAUUCGAAACUGUCUUGCUUGAGUCCGGGAGGGGGUUGCGGAAUUCCGUGUGUAGAGGUGAAAUUCGUAGAUAUACGGAGGAACACCCGUGGCGAAGGCGGCAACCUGUACCGGUACUGACGCUGAGAUGCGAAAGCGUGGGGAGCAAACAGGAUUAGAUACCCGGGUAGUC
This 450-nucleotide ribosomal RNA is filed under the name uncultured bacterium. RNAcentral describes it as "partial 16S ribosomal RNA". It matches the Rfam family "Bacterial small subunit ribosomal RNA", at positions 339 to 795 of the family's 1533-position model. The record is from RNAcentral.